GGCAGGAGCUCACUGCUCUCCCCUAGCUCCUCCUCGGGUGGAGCUAUUUUCCAGCCCAACUUCCCUCAUUCCAGCUCCUCAGUCAGGAUGUGAGGCACAUGGUUGCUGGCGGUGAGAAGAAUACUGUAGUUCCAGCUUCUGCUCCUUUAAGUCUCAGCCAGGAUGGUGGUCACUCAUAU
This is a long non-coding RNA of Pipistrellus kuhlii (Kuhl's pipistrelle), 179 nucleotides long. RefSeq lists it as uncharacterized. The record is from RefSeq and is a predicted model, not a curated record. The transcript is spliced from 3 exons. Lineage: Eukaryota; Metazoa; Chordata; Mammalia; Chiroptera; Vespertilionidae.